AAGACUUUACUUUAUAGGAUCAUUUCUGUAGUUCGUCUUCAUUUACUUUCAAUGCAAAGUAAUGCCAACCUUUAUCACGAUGAUGAGGUGAAUCGUUUCACCUAUAGCGUGAGAAAGUAAACAUGGUCUCUUUGAGUUUAGUUCAGGUUCAAGAGCGUGUUUUUCGAUGAUCGCUGGCUUUGAUAGGUGAAACGAAUUCUGAGUGAU
This is a small nucleolar RNA of Teleopsis dalmanni, 207 nucleotides long. RefSeq annotates it as small nucleolar RNA U3. NCBI's taxonomy places the organism in Eukaryota, Metazoa, Arthropoda, Insecta, Diptera, Diopsidae. The transcript has a single exon. The record is from RefSeq and is a predicted model, not a curated record.